UACCAGCACCCCGAGUGGUCGGGACGUUUAUUGGGCCUAAAGCAUCCGUAGCCGGUUCUACAAGUCUUCCGUUAAAUCCACCUGCUUAACAGAUGGGCUGCGGAAGAUACUAUGGAGCUAGGAGGCGGGAGAGGCAAGCGGUACUCGAUGGGUAGGGGUAAAAUCCGUUGAUCCAUUGAAGACCACCAGUGGCGAAGGCGGCUUGCCAGAACGCGCUCGACGGUGAGCGAUGAAAGCUGGGGGAGCAAACCGG
Molecule: ribosomal RNA, 253 nt
Filed under: uncultured bacterium
Lineage: Bacteria
Description: partial 16S ribosomal RNA
Rfam family: Archaeal small subunit ribosomal RNA
Source: RNAcentral